RNAcentral lists this ribosomal RNA (638 nucleotides) under Stenotrophomonas rhizophila. RNAcentral's name for it is "bacterial SSU rRNA". It matches the Rfam family "Bacterial small subunit ribosomal RNA", at positions 360 to 989 of the family's 1533-position model. Lineage: Bacteria; Pseudomonadati; Pseudomonadota; Gammaproteobacteria; Lysobacterales; Lysobacteraceae. The record is from RNAcentral.
AAUAUUGGACAAUGGGCGCAAGCCUGAUCCAGCCAUACCGCGUGGGUGAAGAAGGCCUUCGGGUUGUAAAGCCCUUUUGUUGGGAAAGAAAAGCAGUCGGCUAAUACCCGGUUGUUCUGACGGUACCCAAAGAAUAAGCACCGGCUAACUUCGUGCCAGCAGCCGCGGUAAUACGAAGGGUGCAAGCGUUACUCGGAAUUACUGGGCGUAAAGCGUGCGUAGGUGGUUGUUUAAGUCUGUUGUGAAAGCCCUGGGCUCAACCUGGGAAUUGCAGUGGAUACUGGGCGACUAGAGUGUGGUAGAGGGUAGUGGAAUUCCCGGUGUAGCAGUGAAAUGCGUAGAGAUCGGGAGGAACAUCCAUGGCGAAGGCAGCUACCUGGACCAACACUGACACUGAGGCACGAAAGCGUGGGGAGCAAACAGGAUUAGAUACCCUGGUAGUCCACGCCCUAAACGAUGCGAACUGGAUGUUGGGUGCAAUUUGGCACGCAGUAUCGAAGCUAACGCGUUAAGUUCGCCGCCUGGGGAGUACGGUCGCAAGACUGAAACUCAAAGGAAUUGACGGGGGCCCGCACAAGCGGUGGAGUAUGUGGUUUAAUUCGAUGCAACGCGAAGAACCUUACCUGGUCUUGACAUGU